CCUACGGGUGGCAGCAGUGAGGAAUAUUGGUCAAUGGACGAGAGUCUGAACCAGCCAAGCCGCGUGAAGGACGAAGGUGCCAAGCAUUGUAAACUUCUUUUGUCAAGGGACAAAAUCAGGCUCGAGAGCCUGACCGAGGGUACUUGAAGAAAAAGCAUCGGCUAACUCCGUGCCAGCAGCCGCGGUAAUACGGAGGAUGCGAGCGUUAUCCGGAUUUAUUGGGUUUAACGGGUGCGUAGGCGGGCUGUUAAGUCAGCGGUAAAAGCCCGGGGCUCAACCCCGGCGAGCCGUUGAAACUGGCUGUCUUGAGAUGGCGAGAGGUAUGCGGAAUGCGCAGUGUAGCGGUGAAAUGCUUAGAUAUCGCGCAGAACUCCGAUUGCGAAGGCAGCAUACCGGCGGCGAUCUGACGCUGAGGCACGAAAGCGUGGGUAUCGAACAGGAUUAGAUACCCGAGUAGUC
This 459-nucleotide ribosomal RNA is filed under the name uncultured bacterium. RNAcentral's name for it is "partial 16S ribosomal RNA". It matches the Rfam family "Bacterial small subunit ribosomal RNA", at positions 338 to 795 of the family's 1533-position model. The record is from RNAcentral.